UGGCAGUUCCCUACCAGAAGCCAAGGAGGAGGGAGCUCUCAGCCAUGUUCUGAUACUGCAGAGAGAGAAAGGAUCCCUGGUAGGACUGAACGUUGUUAUGGCCGGGCAGCUUCUGUUUAUGUUAUAGUCAAGAGGCUUAUGUUUGUGUUGCUAUUUGUUAAACUGGUGGUUUGGGUGAGGCUAUUAGGGGUUGGAGGAGGCCUCAUAGGGGACUCACACUAGUGUGGGGAACCCCAGCGCCAGCAAGGGCGCAGCAUUGGGGGUGCACAGACCCUAGCCCCAGAGAGGGGCAGUUGAGAAGCCCCAGAGAAGGGGGUGUUGCUAAGAAGACCCAGUGCAGGCAUGGUGAGCCCCGGAGAAGGGGGCAGCAUUGUAGAAGAGCCCCAGAGGAGGGCAGCAUUACUGGGGAAACCCUAGAGAAGGGGGUGGCAUUAUUGAGAAGGCCCUAGAGAAGGGGGUGGCAUUAUUGAGAAGGCCCUAGAGAAGGGGGAGGCGUUACUGAGGAGCCCCGGAGAGAGGGCAUGGAGAGAGACAGGGCCACAGAGAGCCCGAGCGCCAGAGAAGGGGUGUAGACCCAGACCAGACAACGUCUACUCCAGCGGUGAGGCGUGGACUGCGGUGUAGGGGAGGAAGCAGAGCCGCAGAUAACACCCCCUGGCAUCGGGGCAGUACAAUAGGCAGCCUUCCGCUCGCAAGAAUAUCAUCAUAAUUUCCAUUAAGACGUGGCAGGAGAGUAUGGGGCAGGACAUAAGAACCCUAAAGAAGGAUCCAAGGGUGCGCCACGCAAGGCAUGGAGUACUAGGAAGAUGGUGCUGGGAAGGGCGACCUGUUAUAUGCAUGUAUAGACUGUGACGCUUUAUUGAGGAGCUACUUAGUCAACGCUUGCAGUAAAGCGCACCUGUAGAUGCACCCAAUGUGUCCCGAAUUUUUCUGCUUUUCAGUCUUUGUUACUUUAACACUCCCAUUAUUUCCCCCUUACUAUUUCUGUACCAUCACGUGAUCCACAUAUGCUCAUUCCACGUACCACAUGCGGGGCUGCUGGUUAAAUUACCAGUCCUGAAAGUAAUACAUAUUAUCAGUACUGUGUUAAUUCUCAUCCUGAUGGCAUAUGGGAGUUUUGUUGUUAACUGCUUCCCCAAACUUCUUCUUUCCUAUGCUUUUCCUCUUAGUAGCCAUGGUCUUGAGUAUCCAUGUAGGCUAAAAUCCAGAGUCUGACUUGCAACAAAAUUGCUGGACAGAGUGCUGGUAGGUAUCAUGAAGUUAGAGUGCAUGAGAAACCUCCCCAAGAGGCACAGGACUUCAAAGAUGUCCUUAAAAACCUCUUCUAGUCCCUAUAAAGACCUGAAAGGAGAAAAGUUUCCUGCAAUGCACUGUACCCCAUUAUGGAUCACCUAUGCCCCGCUUCCUUCUGCCACUUAGUCACAAGUCUAGCUCCAGGCCCAAAUAGCCAGGUUAUCUGAGCUCUGUAACACACUCUUUCUAUUACCCAGAUCUAGCUCUUUCUUUCUUGAACACAAAGAGCUGUGCCUUUAAAGGCUGCCUAUCUGGGAACAUUCACCUGUUUUGUGACAGCAGCAGAGGUGGUGUUUGGAUUUUGGACUUUAAGUGGAACAUACACCAAAAUAAAAUCUUUCUACUUAAAUAAACAGGCUGUAAAGAUGCUUAGGUAUUUAAAAAAGCAUUUACAGUGGCAGGUAAAAUGUCAUUUACUUGAUUUUUAUUCCCAUUUGUUUGAUCCCACUGUGAAUAUCUAAUCUACUGGUCAGGAAAAUGACUGCAUUCCCACAAUGGUAUUACAAUUGUUUUUAUUUUAUUGCAGGAACCAAUACCACAUUAUGCUAAGGACUGCACAGACAAACUACAAGUAUAUGGUCUCUGCCACAAGCAGGUUACAAUUUAAGUCAUUCUCUAAUACCACAUUUCCCAAAGGAGGUCCUGUGUAUUAUCAUGCUUUGAUGUCAGGUUUGUCAGAUUCUAAAAGAGCAAUGAGAUAUGGAUGCAAGGUUUUAGUGAUUAACCAUCUCUAUAUCCUCCCUUUUAUAUUUACAUUUCCUCCAUUUUAUAUUCAAUAUGCUCUGCUUCCUGUCUUUGUUGUUUUUAUUUUAACUUCUCUGAUUUUGUUUAGGUCCAACUGGAACCCAAACUAACAUUGCCAUGCAUCCUCCUGUGUUGGUACAUGAGUGAUCCCAACAAUGUGAUUGGGGACUGACAGGAGAGAAAAGGCUGCAGGAUCAUCACUCCUUCCUUCCGCACACAAAUGCAGAAGAAGAAGCUGAGGAACCAGAGCUGAGCUGGUGCUGGAGGAGUUGCAUUACUUCCCACUCACCAGCAAGGAAGCAGCAGGAACAUCUUUAUAAAUCAUACAUCCUUGCCAAGCUGCCUCCUGGGAAGACAAAGCUAUUUCUUAUCGUGAUUGUUUUAAUUUAGAUUAUUUGAAGUUGAAAGUAGGCUGCCAGUGAAGUAAAUGAGAAGCAGAGGAGAAAAUGACUGCCCUGAGUCCUUGUUGGAAAAGGCGGCAUAGAAAUCAAAUAAAAACAUCCAUAAUUUGGAUGCACUUUCUGUCCUCCAACACAUAAUAACAUCACGGGGAUUAAAAGACAGUAAUAACGGACAAAACAGCUCAUUAUUUGAAACUAUGACUCUAUUCAGCCUCUGCUUAACAGCAUUGUCACAGACUCCCAGGGGAGUCACACUUUUUUUUUUGAGCUGGAGAUGGAGCCUUAUAAUGAAAACUGUCAACAAACAAGGUGAAUGUUCCUUCCGUAGGGAAUGGGCAUUAGGUCUGGAGGUACUGCGAUACCAGGACAGCACCAGGAGGGCCAGAGCCAACCCUGACACCCUCCUAUUGGUGCUAAAAAGGUUUAAUCUUAGCCAAAAUGCUAAGAUGUUGAUGGAGACUCAAGCAGAAGCCCUGUUACUUGAGCUAACUCCGGGAGGAGUGACCUCCGAAUGCACCCUGCCAGGUGGAGAGGAUUUCACAUCUGGAAAGAGGUUGGAUGAUUAGCCUGCAAAAACCACGACGUGUGGACGAAGAGUGAAAGAAGCGGAGACCGAGUUCUGCCAAUGAGGCAAUUAGCUGUUUAGAUUAGUUUUAGCAAAGUAUUGUUAAAAAUUUCAGUUCAGAGUUUUCCUUAUCUUCAAAUCAACUGCCUUUGUCAAUGAAGUUACUGUACCUUCUACUUUGAAAAAUAAACCUAUAA
Molecule: long non-coding RNA, 3200 nt
Organism: Alligator mississippiensis (American alligator)
Lineage: Eukaryota; Metazoa; Chordata; Crocodylia; Alligatoridae
Exons: 3
Source: RefSeq, a predicted model, not a curated record